Molecule: ribosomal RNA, 1177 nt
Filed under: Lactiplantibacillus plantarum
Lineage: Bacteria; Bacillati; Bacillota; Bacilli; Lactobacillales; Lactobacillaceae
Description: bacterial SSU rRNA
Rfam family: Bacterial small subunit ribosomal RNA
Source: RNAcentral
CCUGCCCAGAAGGGGGGAUAACACCUGGAAACAGAUGCUAAUACCGCAUAACAACUUGGACCGCAUGGUCCGAGCUUGAAAGAUGGCUUCGGCUAUCACUUUUGGAUGGUCCCGCGGCGUAUUAGCUAGAUGGUGGGGUAACGGCUCACCAUGGCAAUGAUACGUAGCCGACCUGAGAGGGUAAUCGGCCACAUUGGGACUGAGACACGGCCCAAACUCCUACGGGAGGCAGCAGUAGGGAAUCUUCCACAAUGGACGAAAGUCUGAUGGAGCAACGCCGCGUGAGUGAAGAAGGGUUUCGGCUCGUAAAACUCUGUUGUUAAAGAAGAACAUAUCUGAGAGUAACUGUUCAGGUAUUGACGGUAUUUAACCAGAAAGCCACGGCUAACUACGUGCCAGCAGCCGCGGUAAUACGUAGGUGGCAAGCGUUGUCCGGAUUUAUUGGGCGUAAAGCGAGCGCAGGCGGUUUUUUAAGUCUGAUGUGAAAGCCUUCGGCUCAACCGAAGAAGUGCAUCGGAAACUGGGAAACUUGAGUGCAGAAGAGGACAGUGGAACUCCAUGUGUAGCGGUGAAAUGCGUAGAUAUAUGGAAGAACACCAGUGGCGAAGGCGGCUGUCUGGUCUGUAACUGACGCUGAGGCUCGAAAGUAUGGGUAGCAAACAGGAUUAGAUACCCUGGUAGUCCAUACCGUAAACGAUGAAUGCUAAGUGUUGGAGGGUUUCCGCCCUUCAGUGCUGCAGCUAACGCAUUAAGCAUUCCGCCUGGGGAGUACGGCCGCAAGGCUGAAACUCAAAGGAAUUGACGGGGGCCCGCACAAGCGGUGGAGCAUGUGGUUUAAUUCGAAGCUACGCGAAGAACCUUACCAGGUCUUGACAUACUAUGCAAAUCUAAGAGAUUAGACGUUCCCUUCGGGGACAUGGAUACAGGUGGUGCAUGGUUGUCGUCAGCUCGUGUCGUGAGAUGUUGGGUUAAGUCCCGCAACGAGCGCAACCCUUAUUAUCAGUUGCCAGCAUUAAGUUGGGCACUCUGGUGAGACUGCCGGUGACAAACCGGAGGAAGGUGGGGAUGACGUCAAAUCAUCAUGCCCCUUAUGACCUGGGCUACCACGUGCUACAAUGGAUGGUACAACGAGUUGCGAACUCGCGAGAGUAAGCUAAUCUCUUAAAGCCAUUCUCAG